RNAcentral lists this small nuclear RNA (150 nucleotides) under Sus scrofa (pig). Its description in RNAcentral is "U1 spliceosomal RNA (ENSSSCG00015017089.1)". It matches the Rfam family "U1 spliceosomal RNA". Rfam says of the family: U1 is a small nuclear RNA (snRNA) component of the spliceosome (involved in pre-mRNA splicing). Its 5' end forms complementary base pairs with the 5' splice junction, thus defining the 5' donor site of an intron. There are significant differences in sequence and secondary structure between metazoan and yeast U1 snRNAs, the latter being much longer (568 nucleotides as compared to 164 nucleotides in human). The record is from RNAcentral. Lineage: Eukaryota; Metazoa; Chordata; Mammalia; Artiodactyla; Suidae.
AUACUUACCUGGCAGGGGAAACACCAUGAUCAGGAAGGUGGUUUUCCCAGGGCGAGGUUCACCCAUUGCACUGCGGGUGUGCUGACCUCUGCGAUUUCCCCAAAUGCGGGAAACUCGACUGCGUAAUUUGUGGUAGUGGGGGACUGCGUU